Molecule: ribosomal RNA, 442 nt
Filed under: uncultured bacterium
Lineage: Bacteria
Description: partial 16S ribosomal RNA
Rfam family: Bacterial small subunit ribosomal RNA
Source: RNAcentral
CCUACGGGAGGCUGCAGUGGGGAAUAUUGGGCAAUGGGCGCAAGCCUGACCCAGCAAUGCCGCGUGAAGGAAGAAGGCUUUCGGGUUGUAAACUUCUUUGACAGGGGAGGAGCAGAAGACGGUACCCUGAAAACCAGCCACGGCUAACUACGUGCCAGCAGCCGCGGUAAUACGUAGGUGGCAAGCGUUGUCCGGAUUUACUGGGUGUAAAGGGCGUGUAGCCGGGAAGGCAAGUCAGAUGUGAAAUCUGGAGGCUCAACCUCCAAAUUGCAUUUGUAACUGGUUUUCUUGAGUACUGGAGAGGGAGAGGGAAUUCCUGGUGUAGCGGUGAAAUGCGUAGAGAUAAGGAGGAAUACCAGUGGCGAAGGCGGUCUGCUGGACAGAAACUGACGGUGAGGCGCGAAAGCGUGGGGAGCAAACAGGAUUAGAUACCCUAGUAGUC